Pelodiscus sinensis (Chinese soft-shelled turtle) is the source of this 874-nucleotide non-coding RNA. The record is from RefSeq and is a predicted model, not a curated record. NCBI's taxonomy places the organism in Eukaryota, Metazoa, Chordata, Testudines, Trionychidae.
GCCUAAUCUACAUCUCUCUGCCGACAGGGAGGUGUCGUCUAGACACAGCCUUGAAGAAUCUACCUCAGCUUCUGGGUGUGAGCGAAAGGACUCGCCUAAGUGCCAACGCCCAACAACCGUGGAAUCCUAGUGACACGUUUCUUUUAGGGCAGGAGGGAUGUGCAGAGGUUACCACGGGUCAGCACCAACAGGAGACGCGCCCUUUGGGAGGAGAAGAGGCCCAGGAUCCUGAAGGCCUCUUCAGCAUCAGCCAGAACGAACCCUGGCUGCAGAACUACACCUGGAUCACUGCAGCAGCGACAAGGCAGGGCAGUUUGCAAGUGACACCGAUGUCACAGAAAUAAUUCAUCACCCGGCCUUUCCAAGGCAAAGGUACUUUGUCCCUGCCAGUAGCAGGAACAGGCUGGGACUUUCAAGGCAAGUCCCAGUGGCUGAUCUCUCCGCUCACGGUUCCUUUCAGGAAGGGCCAUAUUAUGACUUUUGUGGGCCCUAGGCAAUUUUGCCUCCGUGGGCCCCUUCCUCCAUUAAAUAUAUAACUUUAAAUACUUGAACAUUUUAUUUUCUGUUUUAGGCAAAAGGUAAUAGAUUUGCAUGGGCCCUAAACCUUCCAUUUUUUUCUGACGUGAGAAAAAAAUUAAAACAUUUUCUUCGACCCUAAAAGUUCAAUUUUUUUUCCCUCCUGAUUUUAAAAGAAAUGUAAACGUGUCCGCGGGCCCCAGGCACUGUGCCUAGUGGAUAAGUCGGCCGGGCAGAACUAUCUCCCACGCUGCGGCAUCCCUCCCACGCUGCCUCCCAUCACAAGAGACCACAGAGCCGCUGCCAGGGCAUCCUGCGAGGACAGGCACCAAACGGGGGGGGCCUUUCCCUGCCCUGG